This 872-nucleotide long non-coding RNA is filed under the name Nicotiana benthamiana. Its description in RNAcentral is "long non-coding RNA (NBEN_LNC031341)". The record is from RNAcentral. Lineage: Eukaryota; Viridiplantae; Streptophyta; Magnoliopsida; Solanales; Solanaceae.
GAGUGGACACAAGAGAAACUCGAGGAAUAUCAGAGGAGUAAACAAAAAGGGGGCUGGUAGAGUCCGCUGAGGAGUAUUAACAUUCAUAUUAGAAGUCUUGAACAAUAACCAGUUUGAAAUAAAAAACAGUCUCGGUAAACAGGCUAAAGUUGAAUCAAAACCCACAUGCAAAAUAUACAACACUUAGAACAAGGAUAGAGUUACCUUCCUUCUUCGCGACCGGAGAAGAACGACCUUCAAUCGCCAGAUAAAACCCUAGGUCUGACCACCGGAAAUCGUAGGGUCCGGAAACUUACCGGAAUAGGGUUAGGGACGUCAGAAAAGCACCCAAAACAUCCACCGAGUGAGGAUCGAGCCAUCGGAUAGCAGUAAAACCCUAGGUCCGAACACCGAAAACCCUAAAAUCUGGAAAGUUACCGGAAUAAAGUCAGGGAUGUCGGAAAAUCACCCAAAACAUCCAUUGAGUGAAGAUCGAACUAUCAAAUAGCAGUAAAAGUUCCGAUUAUCUGUUCAAUACACAUCGAUCUCUCGGUAAACAGAAUCUCUCAUAAAUAUCCAGAGAAAAACCUUCAAUAGAACUUCGAACACGAUCGAUAACAUGUAACGGAGAAGAAUCCGAGGAUCAUCCCGCUCUGAUACCAUGAAAACAUACAGAUUGAAGGUGAGAAACUGAUGAAAACAUAAUCUCUCACAAAUAUCCAGAGAAAAACCUUCAAUAGAACUUCCGACACGAUCGAUAACAAGCAAUGGAGAAGAAUCUGAGGAUCAUCCCGCUCUGAUACCAUGAAAACAUAUAGAUUGAAGGUGAAAAACUGAUGACAGAUACAGUGAGAGAGAGAGAGAAACGAGAGGAGUUGAGAACUCUCUGGAAU